CGUCUCCACCACCAGCCUUCCCUGCAGUUUGCAGGAAGUGCAAGACGGCAUGGGGACAAAGCGGCCAAAUCCCAAACCAGUGUCUGUGCCGUACCUCAGCCCCUUGGUACUGCGCAAGGAGCUGGAAACGUUGCUGGAGAAUGAGGGAGAUCAGGUAAUCUACACCCACAAGUUCCUCAGCCAGCACCCAAUCAUUUUCUGGAACCUGGUGUGGUAUUUCCGCCGCCUGGA
Non-coding RNA from Neolamprologus brichardi, 231 nucleotides. NCBI's taxonomy places the organism in Eukaryota, Metazoa, Chordata, Actinopteri, Cichliformes, Cichlidae. The record is from RefSeq and is a predicted model, not a curated record.